GAUGAACGCUAGCGGGAGGCUUAACACAUGCAAGUCGAGGGGCAUCACGAGGUAGCAAUACUUUGGUGGCGACCGGCGCACGGGUGAGUAACACGUAUGCAACCUUCCCUGUACAGGGGGAUAACCCGGAGAAAUUCGGACUAAUACCCCAUGAUGAUAUUUAUGGGCAUCCAUUGAUAUUUAAAGCUCUGGCGGUACAGGAUGGGGCAUGCGCGACAUUAGCUAGUUGGUAAGGUAACGGCUUACCAAGGCUACGAUGUUUAGGGGACCUGAGAGGGUUGUCCCCCAACUGGUACUGAGACACGGACCAGACUCCUACGGGAGGCAGCAGUGAGGAAUAUUGGUCAAUGGGCGCAAGCCUGAACCAGCCAUCCCGCGUGAAGGAAGAAUGCGCUACGCGUUGUAAACUUCUUUUCCAGGGGGAAAUAAUCCUGUCGUGACAGGACUUGACGGUACUCUGGGAAUAGCAUCGGCUAACUCCGUGCCAGCAGCCGCGGU
RNAcentral lists this ribosomal RNA (498 nucleotides) under uncultured bacterium. Its description in RNAcentral is "bacterial SSU rRNA". It matches the Rfam family "Bacterial small subunit ribosomal RNA", at positions 28 to 521 of the family's 1533-position model. The record is from RNAcentral.